GCCCAUUCUCAUGUUUUGAGUGACGCGAUCAUCUAUGAGACAAGAGAGGAUCCGAGGUGGCCGCGUUUAACGCUGUUGACCACUACAGUCAUUGCGCGCGGGGGACGACAGACAUUCGCCUUUUUUCCCCCGACUUGCUGUGUUUUUCCCGCGGACUUUUCUGUGCUAUUUGACAACAAUGCUCUUAGUUUUCUUACGGAGAAUAGUCACUGUGUCGUGUAUGAAGGCGUAAUCUCGGUGUAGUGGAGCAGCUCGGAUUCUACGAGGCCAAAGAGAACUCUUCUUUGGGAAACCAAACAUGCCGCGGCGGAAACAAGAAGCGCCCAAGCGCGCGGCAGACACUCACACGAACACCAUCCGGAGAUCGGAGGAGAGGAAAAUAACCUAAGACUGAGAUAUCUCCCCUGCUGGUUUGUCCCCCGAGCGCUUGGCCCUCUUUACGAGCGGUGUGCCAGGCCCUGCCAAGCGCACGGGGCCCAGUGACAUCUUUUGAUCAGGGCUGUCGCAGAAGAUCAGCGGAGACUGGCAGGUAAUGGAUACCCAGUGACAAACUAAAUCUACGGGCAGGAUGGGAGACUAGACCGCACCUGCCAGGUCCCUAUUAGACUGGCCCUUUCAGUGGGGCUGCCUGCCUGCCUGCUGACACCCACCGCCCCCAGGGCCAACAUCAGACCACCGCCCAGCCGCCCUGAGAUUAGCUGUUAGCAGGAUAUGGGGGUUAUUCCAGCGAUGACAUUUUUGUUUAGACUGGAUGUGUUUGUGUGUAAAGGGAUUAGUGAUUUGGUGUGUGUGUGUGUG
Long non-coding RNA from Oncorhynchus tshawytscha (Chinook salmon), 798 nucleotides. The record is from Ensembl. Lineage: Eukaryota; Metazoa; Chordata; Actinopteri; Salmoniformes; Salmonidae.